RNAcentral lists this antisense RNA (69 nucleotides) under Amycolatopsis sp. YIM 10. RNAcentral describes it as "ASpks TB sRNA". It matches the Rfam family "ASpks TB sRNA". Lineage: Bacteria; Bacillati; Actinomycetota; Actinomycetes; Pseudonocardiales; Pseudonocardiaceae. The record is from Rfam by way of RNAcentral.
CUUGAUCGAGCCGAGCCACAGCGGUUCUUCCCGGUUGCGGCCGUAGGUCGCCAGCAGCGCCUGCGCCUC